ACUCAACAGAUGAGUCCCAAAUAGGACGAAACGCGCGUCGAACCGGAU
Non-coding RNA from Schistosoma margrebowiei, 48 nucleotides. The record is from Rfam. Lineage: Eukaryota; Metazoa; Platyhelminthes; Trematoda; Strigeidida; Schistosomatidae.